RNAcentral lists this ribosomal RNA (1091 nucleotides) under Triticum aestivum (bread wheat). Its description in RNAcentral is "partial small subunit ribosomal RNA". Lineage: Eukaryota; Viridiplantae; Streptophyta; Magnoliopsida; Poales; Poaceae. The record is from RNAcentral.
GCGCUCGUCUUUAUAAAUAGACAAGAGCACCUAACACCAGUGUUGCUAGUCUAGCUACGUUCAGUGUUGUAAGUUCGACCUGUUUGGAACGUAACGAAAACGUGUUUAAGAGUAUUAAAUGUAGUACCAUCAUGUUGAGUCUGACGUGUUGUUGUGUGAAAUACCGCACGUGUUAGAGGUUCUGUAGAAUGAACGGCCCCUGUUUCAACCACCGCUUGCGGGUCCGCAACAACAACUGCCCCAGUCUCUACACCAGUCACUCCAAGAGAUCACCAGGGAACGGGCACUGCUAUCGAACCUGUUUCUUCGGCUUGUAACUCUUGUACCGCUCCGCUGGUAAGAAUUAGAGGAAGUGGAACUCGAGCUGCUUACGGAGCCCUAGCAGCCGAUCCGGCUCUCCCAGCUUCGACGGAGGACCCAUAUCACCCAGCUGCUAGAGCGGUUCACCCGGCGGCCGUUGCGCCAUGGGGAGCUGGCGUGGGUACUCGUGCUGAACCGUACGGGUUUAUCGAUCCUACGAAACGCGCACGUGUUCCGACCCUAACGGCUCCAUCAGUUCUGGUGGGAGUGAUUUCUAGACCCUCGGCCGGAACUUGGUUUGCCGGAGCGGUUUGAACUGCGGUAACGCCCGCUCGUUGAGUCCCUUCUGUGUUGGUUCACGGGGUUCGUACCGGGUUGCUGUCACCUAGAGGAGGUCGAGGGCCAAGAACCUCUUCCAGAGGCCCAGUCGGCUUUCAGGUCGUCAUAGGGUUGGUAUUAGCGGUCCCUUGAGUGGCCACUCCAUCGAGCCCCCGAGUGGUCUCUCACCCGGCUCCAUGUUGUGUGCCAGCCGUGGCAUGGUACCCGACGGUCUCCUUUCGGCGAAGCGGAAGCGACGUCAGAACGCGUACGACUGCGCCCGGAGUGGCUUCUCUCGGCUACUGCUGUGCAAGAAGUGGCGGAACGGCCGUUUCCAACUCCUCCUCUCCCUGUACCACCACCAGCGGUAACCUUCCGACUACUUUCACAGACGACAUACUUAAGAGGUUAUCUGCUCACUCACACCUCUACGGAACUAUACUCUCCCCCUCUCCGAUGAAUUCCGUAGCUUA